RNAcentral lists this ribosomal RNA (668 nucleotides) under uncultured bacterium. Its description in RNAcentral is "bacterial SSU rRNA". The stretch from base 4 to 544 matches the Rfam family "Bacterial small subunit ribosomal RNA", at positions 28 to 545 of the family's 1533-position model. The record is from RNAcentral.
CACGACCGCCGCUGUUAUNACAGCCUAAUACAUGCAAGUCGAGCGAACAGAAAAGGGGCUUGCUCCUUUGACGUAGCGGCGGACGAGUGAGUAACACGUGGGCAACCUACCUUAUAGUUGGGAUAACUCCGGGAAACCGGGGCUAAUACCGAAUAAUCUAUUUCACUUCAUGGUGAAAUACUGAAAGACGGUUUCGGCUGUCGCUAUAAGAUGGGCCCGCGGCGCAUUAGCUAGUUGGUGAGGUAACGGCUCACCAANGCGACGAUGCGUAGCCGACCUGAGAGGGUGAUCGGCCACACUGGUGACUGAGACACGGCCCAGACUCCUACGGGAGUGCAGCAGUAGGGAAUCUUCCACAAUGGGCGAAAGCCUGAUGGAGCAACGCCGCGUGAGUGAAGAAGGUUUUUCGGAUCGUAAAACUCUGUUGUAAGGGAAGAACAAAGUACAGUAGUAAACUGGCUGUACCUUGACGGUACCUUAUUAGAAAGCCACCGGCUAACUACGUGCCAGCAGCCGCGGUAAUACGUAGGUGGCAAGCGUUGUCCGGAAAUUAUUGGGGCAGUUAAAAAGCGCGCGCCAAGNGCGGGNUCCCUUUUAAAGGUCCUUGAUGUGGAAAAAGACCCAACGGGGUCAAACCNGUUGGNAAGGGGUCCAAUUGGAAAACUUGG